This 489-nucleotide ribosomal RNA is filed under the name uncultured bacterium. RNAcentral describes it as "bacterial SSU rRNA". It matches the Rfam family "Bacterial small subunit ribosomal RNA", at positions 29 to 507 of the family's 1533-position model. The record is from RNAcentral.
AUUGAACGCUAGCGGCAUGCCUUACACAUGCAAGUCGAACGGCAGGCACGGGGGGCAACCCUGGUGGCGAGUGGCGAACGGGUGAGUAAUGCAUCGGAACGUGCCCAUCGAUGGGGGAUAACUGCGCGAAAGCGUUGCUAAUACCGCAUACGACCUACGGGUGAAAGCAGGGGACCGCAAGGCCUUGCGUCGAUGGAGCGGCCGAUGCCGGAUUAGCUAGUUGGUGAGGUAAAGGCUCACCAAGGGCGACGAUCCGUAGCCUGGUCUGAGAGGACGACCCAGCCACACUGGGACUGAGACACGGCCCAGACUCCUACGGGAGGCAGCAGUGGGGAAUCUUGGACAAUGGGCGAAAGCCUGAUCCAGCAAUGCCGCGUGUGGGAAGAAGGCCCUCGGGUUGUAAACCACUUUUGGCGGGAAAGAAAUGGUCUGUGCUAAUACCACGGAUUGAUGACGGUACCCGCAGAAUAAGCACCGGCUAACUACGUG